Molecule: long non-coding RNA, 1487 nt
Organism: Bubalus bubalis (water buffalo)
Lineage: Eukaryota; Metazoa; Chordata; Mammalia; Artiodactyla; Bovidae
Exons: 4
Source: RefSeq, a predicted model, not a curated record
GGUAUAGCCGCCUCCCACGGGUGUUGCACAUGCGCAGAACUUCCCGACCCUGUAGCCGGCACAUCAGACCUGAUGAACUGCGGCGUGGCGGCAGUGUUCACACAGUGCAGAGGUUACGCAGGUUAAUGCGAGACGCCUCUGUGAGGCUGGUGGUCAUCCAGGGAUCAGUACCCCCUGGAAGUCGGGCUCUCAGAAGGCUGCGUGGAUCCAGUUAGGGAAGGUUCUAGGCCUGGAACGCCCACCACAGGAGUGGUUCCAGUGGCAGUGGCAAACUUCAGACCAGUUUAUGGGUCAGCAUUCCUGGAGGAUGUGGCGCUGACCUCAGCAGUUUUCAAAGGCAACAAUGGCAGGAACCUCCUUCAGAAGUUUCUUCCAGCUUCUCUUCACAGUAAUGAGUGAAAUCCAGGAGGAUACAAAGAGAAGGCAGGAACAAGAUUUUGAGUAGAUACAGAUUCCUAUAACUGGAGCAGAGAUGGAGCCAUAGCCAGAACACUGCAUCAUACAAAUGAGGUAUAGGCAGACGGACUGUUUUCCAAGAUGGCUGAACCAUUUUACACUGCCACUAGGAGUAUAUGAGAAUUCUAGUUCUUCCAUAUUCUUGCCAACACUUGUUAUUAAUUGCUCUAUUGAUAAACAUCCUAUACUUGCUGUCUCUCAGACACUGUGUCAGACUUUGGAGAUACAAGGAUGGACCACGUGUCUCUUUACACAAUGAGCUCAGGAUCUAAGAAGAGAAAUACCCGGAGAAACAAGUAUAGUACAGUAUAAUUUUAAAAAACUAUCUAUUUAUUAUGAUACAUUUAUAGUAUCAGGCACUGCACCAGAUGCUUUUCCUUUGUUUCAUUUGGAUCCUAACAACCUCGUUGGUGGCUGACUCUAGAUCUUUCUCAGGCCAACACCAUGUUGUGUACCACUGUAUUCCACUGCUCCCUCACGUAAGUGCAAGACGAAGUUUUAUGCCCAGGUCCUUUGAGAACAUCAGGGAGGCCUCUAAACUAGACUGGGGUGCCAGAGGAAGGCCCUCUGGGGGUGUUGUAUGGGCUAGAAUGCUAGAGGACAAGCUCACAGACCUUGGCAAGGAAAAGCCAAGUGGAGAUGCGGUUGGAGGGAUGGAGAAAUUACCCUGUCUUUGUUUUCUUCAGUAUUCUAAGCAUAGUUACAGUGUAGACCAUUUUACAGUACAUUACCUGGAAUAUAACAACAUAAUUUCAUUUACAAUCAUGCUUAGCGUUCCCAAUACCAGAAAAUUUCAAAUAAAACCUUAUGUUUAAUCAUUGUCCCCAUUUUUGUGUAAAAGAUUUCGAAAGCUGGCUGCCUCAGGCGGUGUACUUGAAAGACUGUUACUCAGCUGAUGACUGCUGCUUCUGAUUCCUUCUACUAUGUAUAUUUACCCAGAAAUGUCACAUGGGAUUUUACAUUUAUAUAAUGCUUUUUAGGGCAAUGAAAACCCAAUAAAAUCGGCUGGCUUAUUUAAUGUUCAAAGUGUU